RNAcentral lists this ribosomal RNA (527 nucleotides) under uncultured bacterium. RNAcentral's name for it is "partial 16S ribosomal RNA". It matches the Rfam family "Bacterial small subunit ribosomal RNA", at positions 356 to 874 of the family's 1533-position model. The record is from RNAcentral.
UGGGAAUCUUGGACAAUGGGGGCAACCCUGAUCCAGCAAUGCCGCGUGUGGGAUGAAGGCCUUCGGGUUGUAAACCACUUUUGGCGGGGGCGAAAUAUCGAGUGCUAAUACCAUUCGGUGAUGACGGUACCCGCAGAAUAAGCACCGGCUAACUACGUGCCAGCAGCCGCGGUAAUACGUAGGGUGCAAGCGUUAAUCGGAAUUACUGGGCGUAAAGCGUGCGCAGGCGGUUAGGUAAGACAGGUGUGAAAUUCCCGGGCUCAACCUGGGAACUGCAUUUGUGACUGCCUGACUAGAGUGCGGCAGAGGGGAGUGGAAUUCCGCGUGUAGCAGUGAAAUGCGUAGAUAUGCGGAGGAACACCGAUGGCGAAGGCAACUCCCUGGGCCUGCACUGACGCUCAUGCACGAAAAGCGUGGGGAGCAAAACAGGAUUAGAUACCCUGGUAGUCCACGCCCUAAACGAUGUCGACUAGUUGUUGGACGGGUUACUGUUCAGUAACGAAGCUAACGCGUGAAGUCGACCGCCU